Molecule: ribosomal RNA, 253 nt
Filed under: uncultured bacterium
Lineage: Bacteria
Description: partial 16S ribosomal RNA
Rfam family: Bacterial small subunit ribosomal RNA
Source: RNAcentral
UACGAAGGGGGCUAGCGUUGCUCGGAAUCACUGGGCGUAAAGCGCACGUAGGCGGAUUGCUAAGUCAGGGGUGAAAUCCUGGAGCUCAACUCCAGAACUGCCUUUGAUACUGGCGAUCUUGAGUCCGGGAGAGGUGAGUGGAACUGCGAGUGUAGAGGUGAAAUUCGCAGAUAUCAGGAAGAAUAUCCGUGGCGAAGGCGGCUCUCUGGUACGGCACUGACGCUGAGACGCGAAAGCGUGGGGAGCGAACAGG